AGACGAACCGUGCGAACGUUAUUCGGAAUCACUGGGCUUGAAGCGUGCGUAGGCGGCUUGGCAAGUUGGGUGUGAAAGCCCUCGGCUCAACCGAGGAAUUGCGCCCAGAACUGCCAGGCUUGAGGGAGAUAGAGGUGAGCGGAACUGAUGGUGGAGCGGUGAAAUGCUUUGAUAUCAUCAGGAACACCGGAGGCGAAGGCGGCUCACUGGGGCUCUUCUGACGCUGAGGCACGAAAGCUAGGGGAGCGAACGGGAUUAGAAACCCUAGUAGUCC
Molecule: ribosomal RNA, 274 nt
Filed under: uncultured bacterium
Lineage: Bacteria
Description: partial 16S ribosomal RNA
Rfam family: Bacterial small subunit ribosomal RNA
Source: RNAcentral